GGUAGGAUGGACGAGUGGUUUAAGUUGGCAGAUUUAAGUUUCUUAGAAGAAUUUCCUGCUACCGUUAUGGUGCGCGGGUUCAAACCCUACUCCUAUCA
Sphaerobolus stellatus SS14 is the source of this 98-nucleotide non-coding RNA. Lineage: Eukaryota; Fungi; Basidiomycota; Agaricomycetes; Geastrales; Sphaerobolaceae. The record is from Rfam.